This is a long non-coding RNA of Ornithodoros turicata, 1105 nucleotides long. RefSeq lists it as uncharacterized. The record is from RefSeq and is a predicted model, not a curated record. The transcript has 2 exons. NCBI's taxonomy places the organism in Eukaryota, Metazoa, Arthropoda, Arachnida, Ixodida, Argasidae.
CUGCAAAGCGAGCCGUGCGGGCAAAAUGGCACGUGCAUUUAUUCUGGAAAACCAAAAUAUUUAGAACUAUCUUUCGUUAGAUAAGACGGGUGGCGAUAGCAAGGUGUUAUCGCCGAUGGUGGUCUCACACGUGCUGUUUCCCUCUUUACUGCGAGGGAACCUGAAGCUUAUAUAACCCGCAGCGCUACCAAGGCAGACAGGAGAGCCAUCCUGGAGGCUAGCGCAAGCAACAUCAACGGACGGGUUCCUUCGGCAUACGGCAGAUUACGGCAGUGGUCUACUAGAGGAAACUACGAUUCAUGCCUGCCAAGAGGAAUUCCAGCUCCCUCGACAGUGCCGUCAACGAACCUGCGGCACAGGGCCUGCUACAGCAGCUGUCUUCCACUCUGUAUGCUUCCCCAAAUAGCUCGGCAGCACAUCCAGUCCUCGGACACCCGCUGCGCAGGAAGUUGACGGUAACGACGCUUUCCAGCCACCCGUGGUCGGAAGACUUCAUAGACUGGGAACGGCCAUCAAAGUCACCGAAGAUAUCUUCCUGCGUAGGGUGCUGUCCGCCGAUACAGACUGCCUUUCCGGUGAUAUUUUGCACUUGCCAAACCUUCGAAAAGGUGUAGUGAUAGCAAGGAGUUAUCGCUUAAAGCCCCCCCCCCCCCCCCCCCAAUCUUAAACAUAGUGUCGCUUUUCUACUGCGAGGGAACCUGAAGCGUGUCCAUCAGUAGCGCUACGGGCGCGGAAAAAAACAUCUUGACGAGUGUUGCUGCAGAGGACAUAUUACGACGCACUGGUUUUCUACAGGGAACUGUGACGUAUCCAAAUAAACAUGCUGCUGUUCGUUACCCUGAGGUUGCUUGUCUUCUCUGGGACUUGUUUGUCACUAGAUCCAGUGCGCCUGGUUUGGAUUGCCUCCUCUGCUAACCUCUUAAUAUUUUCUGAGGUCAUGUUUCGAGAGCUGUUCCAUUCCAGCUGCAAAAUAUUGAGUACAUUCUACUGAAGCUGAGAACUUCUCUUCGUGUUAAAACAUGUACGACUGACAUGUGUUGUUCUCUGUGGGAAAAUUUCAAGUCCUCCUUCCAUGCUGCCAGCGAAAUAAAUGAGUACCCUCUGA